GGGCGCGUAGCUCAGUUGGUUAGAGCGCUUCCCUUACAAGGAAGAAGCCGCAGGUUCGAGUCCUGCCUCGCCCAC
This 75-nucleotide transfer RNA is filed under the name Chlamydiota bacterium. RNAcentral describes it as "Chlamydiae bacterium tRNA-Val". It matches the Rfam family "tRNA". Rfam says of the family: Transfer RNA (tRNA) molecules are approximately 80 nucleotides in length. Their secondary structure includes four short double-helical elements and three loops (D, anti-codon, and T loops). Lineage: Bacteria; Pseudomonadati; Chlamydiota. The record is from RNAcentral.